This is a small nucleolar RNA of Alnus glutinosa, 139 nucleotides long. RefSeq annotates it as small nucleolar RNA Z247. The record is from RefSeq and is a predicted model, not a curated record. The transcript has a single exon. NCBI's taxonomy places the organism in Eukaryota, Viridiplantae, Streptophyta, Magnoliopsida, Fagales, Betulaceae.
CCCCUGAAAGACUUUGAGUUAAUCUCUUAUAUUCUUGUUGGUCUUGGCUUUGACUAUGACCCACUGGUUACAUCUAUUACAACCCGCAUUGAUCCUGUCUCUUUAGAGGAUCUAUAUGGUCCUUUACUGACCCAUGAGC